UACGUAGGGUGCAAGCGUGAAUCGGAAUUACUGGGCGUAAAGCGUGCGCAGGCGGUUUUGUAAGUCUGUCGUGAAAUCCCCGGGCUCAAUCUGGGAAUUGCGAUGGAGACUGCAAGGCUAGAAUCUGGCAGAGGGGGGUAGAAUUCCACGUGUAGCAGUGAAAUGCGUAGAGAUGUGGAGGAACACCGAUGGCGAAGGCAGCCCCCUGGGUCAAGAUUGACGCUCAUGCACGAAAGCGUGGGGAGCAAACAGG
RNAcentral lists this ribosomal RNA (253 nucleotides) under uncultured bacterium. RNAcentral's name for it is "partial 16S ribosomal RNA". It matches the Rfam family "Bacterial small subunit ribosomal RNA", at positions 524 to 776 of the family's 1533-position model. The record is from RNAcentral.